This 1384-nucleotide ribosomal RNA is filed under the name uncultured bacterium. RNAcentral describes it as "bacterial SSU rRNA". It matches the Rfam family "Bacterial small subunit ribosomal RNA". The record is from RNAcentral.
GAAUUCGCCCUUAGAGUUUGAUCCUGGCUCAGGACGAACGCUGGCGGCGCGCCUAACACAUGCAAGUCGAACGAGCGAGAGAGAGCUUGCUUUCUCAAGCGAGUGGCGAACGGGUGAGUAACGCGUGAGGAACCUGCCUCAAAGAGGGGGACAACAGUUGGAAACGACUGCUAAUACCGCAUAAGCCCACGACCCGGCAUCGGGUAGAGGGAAAAGGAGCAAUCCGCUUUGAGAUGGCCUCGCGUCCGAUUAGCUAGUUGGUGAGGUAACGGCCCACCAAGGCGACGAUCGGUAGCCGGACUGAGAGGUUGAACGGCCACAUUGGGACUGAGACACGGCCCAGACUCCUACGGGAGGCAGCAGUGGGGAAUAUUGCACAAUGGGGGAAACCCUGAUGCAGCGACGCCGCGUGGAGGAAGAAGGUCUUCGGAUUGUAAACUCCUGUUGUUGAGGAAGAUAAUGACGGUACUCAACAAGGAAGUGACGGCUAACUACGUGCCAGCAGCCGCGGUAAAACGUAGGUCACAAGCGUUGUCCGGAAUUACUGGGUGUAAAGGGAGCGCAGGCGGGAAGACAAGUUGGAAGUGAAAUCCAUGGGUUCAACCCAUGAACUGCUUUCAAAACUGUUUUUCUUGAGUAGUGCAGAGGUAGGCGGAAUUCCCCGGUGUAGCGGUGGAAUGCGUAGAUAUCGGGAGGGAACACCAGUGGCGAAGGCGGCCUACUGGGCACCAACUGACGCUGAGGCUCGAAAGUGUGGGUAGCAAACAGGAUUAGAUACCCUGGUAGUCCACACUGUAAACGAUGAUUACUAGGUGUUGGAGGAUUGACCCCUUCAGUGCCGCAGUUAACACAAUAAGUAAUCCACCUGGGGAGUACGACCGCAAGGUUGAAACUCAAAGGAAUUGACGGGGGCCCGCACAAGCAGUGGAGUAUGUGGUUUAAUUCGACGCAACGCGAAGAACCUUACCAAGUCUUGACAUCCUGCGACGGUGCUGGAAACAGUACUUUCCUUCGGGACGCAGAGACAGGUGGUGCAUGGUUGUCGUCAGCUCGUGUCGUGAGAUGUUGGGUUAAGUCCCGCAACGAGCGCAACCCUUAUGGUCAGUUACUACGCAAGAGGACUCUGGCCAGACUGCCGUUGACAAAACGGAGGAAGGUGGGGAUGACGUCAAAUCAUCAUGCCCUUUAUGACUUGGGCUACACACGUACUACAAUGGCGUUAAACAAAGAGAAGCAAGACCGCGAGGUGGAGCAAAACUCAGAAACAACGUCCCAGUUCGGACUGCAGGCUGCAACUCGCCUGCACGAAGUCGGAAUUGCUAGUAAUCGCAGAUCAGCAUGCUGCGGUGAAUACGUUCCCGGGCCUUGCACACACCGCCCGUCA